Molecule: long non-coding RNA, 469 nt
Filed under: Panax ginseng (ginseng)
Lineage: Eukaryota; Viridiplantae; Streptophyta; Magnoliopsida; Apiales; Araliaceae
Description: long non-coding RNA (PGIN_LNC007622)
Source: RNAcentral
AAAUUGUACUCUGUACAUCUUGCAUGUAUAAGUCAGGUAUGAAAGGCUGAUCACCUUCAUUACCAGUUGGUUCAGAAAUGUUUGUUCAUGUUUAAAACUUGUUCAGUCAAAAGUUUGUUCCUGCUAGUUCUCAAUUAUAUUGAUGAAUUAUAGCCAGCUUAUUAUUCAUACUCUUCAAUCAUGAUAUAUCGUUGUAUUGUUGUAUUUAAACUUGCUGGGCAACUUUCAUGCUCACCCUUGCUAUAUCACGAUAAAACAUUGCAGAUAAGGAAAAUGCGUUCGGAUACAGGAAAAGAUAAUGCCAAGUUCAACUUGGGAUAAAUGGUGCAGCUAUUUUGUAAUAGUAUAGUCUGAUAAAUGUGAUAAAUGUUAGAUCAUUUAUGAUUGUGUAAUAAGUAAAGGUUACUCGACCUUGGGGAAUAGUGUGUAAUGUAAUGUAUAAACAAUUUAUGUUUAUAUCUUCCGCAAA